Molecule: small RNA, 93 nt
Filed under: marine eukaryotic metagenome
Description: t44 RNA
Rfam family: t44 RNA
About the family: This family consists of a number of bacterial RNA genes of between 135 and 170 bases in length. The t44 gene is found between the map and rpsB genes in all species in the full alignment apart from Shigella flexneri.
Source: RNAcentral
UAUUAAUCCGCACAUGCAUCGGCACGUGCGACCGGGUGCCCCGUCUGUCGUUAGGCGGUGGGGUUGUCGCAUGAGGAUGCAUGGAGGCCCAAC